ACGGCUGCUCAGUAACACGUAGUCAACUGACCCUAUGGACGAGGAUAAUCUCGGGAAACUGAGCAUAAUACUCGAUAGAUCAUAAUGCCUGGAAUGGUUUAUGGUUGAAAUGAUUCAUCGCCAUAGGAUGGGACUGCGGCCUAUCAGCUUGUUGGUGAGGUAAUGGCCCACCAAGGCGAUUACAGGUACGGGCUCUGAGAGGAGAAGCCCGGAGAUGGGUACUGAGACAAGGACCCAGGCCCUAUGGGGCGCAGCAGGCGAGAAAACUUUGCAAUGUGCGAAAGCACGACAAGGUUAAUCCGAGUGAUUUCUGCUAAAGAAAUCUUUUGCAAGUCAUAAAACCACUAGUGAAUAAGGGGUGGGCAAGUUCUGGUGUCAGCCGCCGCGGUAAAACCAGCACCUCAAGUGGUCAGGAGGAUUAUUGGGCCUAAAGCAUCCGUAGCCGGCUCUGUAAGUUUUCGGUUAAAUCCAUGUGCUCAACGCAUGGGCUGCCGAAAAUACUGCAUAGCUAGGGAGUGGGAGAGGUAGACGGUACUCGGUAGGAAGGGGUAAAAUCCUUUGAUCUAUCGAUGACCACCUGUGGCGAAGGCGGUCUACCAGAACACGUUCGACGGUGAGGGAUGAAAGCUGGGGGAGCAAACCGGAUUAGAUACCCGGGUAGUCCCAGCUGUAAACGAUGCAGACUCGAUGAUGCAUUGGCAUAUAGCCAGUGCAGUGUCGCAGGGAAGCCGUUAAGUCUGCCGCCUGGGAAGUACGUACGCAAGUAUGAAACUUUAAAGGAAUUGGCGGGGGAGCAG
RNAcentral lists this ribosomal RNA (797 nucleotides) under uncultured marine thaumarchaeote. Its description in RNAcentral is "bacterial SSU rRNA". It matches the Rfam family "Archaeal small subunit ribosomal RNA", at positions 82 to 879 of the family's 1478-position model. Lineage: Archaea; Thermoproteati; Nitrososphaerota. The record is from RNAcentral.